UUGUGGAGGAGGACGCCGAAGGUGGGGCUAAUGACUGGGGUGAAGUCGUAACAAGGUAGCCGUACCGGAAGGUGCGGCUGGAUCACCUCCUAACAGGGAGACAACAAAAUGUUAAAUAUUAAUUUUGUCACCUUAGGUCGAUCGGUAUCUCAGAUUCUUCAAUAUUUAAUGAAGAAUUUCAGUUUCUAAGUUUUUUCUAGGUCACACCCAUUACUUUUUCCUGGGCCAUUAGCUCAGGUGGUUAGAGCGCACCCCUGAUAAGGGUGAGGUCCCUGGUUCAAGUCCAGGAUGGCCCAUAUCUCUAUGUUGGGGGUAUAGCUCAGUUGGUAGAGCGCCUGCUUUGCAAGCAGGAUGUCAGCGGUUCGAGUCCGCUUACCUCCACUGAAUACCACCUCUUUAGAUAAAUAAAUUAGGGAAAUUGUUUUGAGAUGUGUCCUUAUCACUCUGUUUGAAUCUAGCUUCCUAAUAGAUCCUAAAUCCAUUAAGAUGCUGGACUCAUUGAAUUUUUAUUCUUUGUUUUCAGAGAACCUUGACAACUGCAUAGAUUAUUUUUAAAGACAAUAAGCAUCUUUAAUGAUGCAGAUUUUUAUUUGUGCUAUAUGCAUUAAUAACAAUUCUAUUGAGCUGAUGCUUCAAUUUUGAAGUUAUUGGUCAAGCUACAA
RNAcentral lists this unclassified non-coding RNA (662 nucleotides) under uncultured Prochlorococcus sp. Its description in RNAcentral is "partial 16S-23S ribosomal RNA intergenic spacer; may also contain 16S ribosomal RNA and 23S ribosomal RNA". The stretch from base 309 to 381 matches the Rfam family "tRNA". The record is from RNAcentral. Lineage: Bacteria; Bacillati; Cyanobacteriota; Cyanophyceae; Synechococcales; Prochlorococcaceae.